AAUGAACGCUGGCGGCAGGCCUAACACAUGCAAGUCGAGCGGAGCGGCGGACGGGUGAGUGAUGACUAGGAGUCUGCCUGGUAGUGGAGGAUAACGUCCGGCAACGGGAGAUAAUACCGCAUACUAUCAGAUGAGCCUAGGUCGGAUUAGCUAGUGGGGGGGGAAAAGGCCUACCAGGGCGACGAUCCGUAACUGGUCUGAGAGGAUGAUCAGUCACACUGGAACUGAGACACGGUCCAGACUCCUACGGUAGGCAGCAGUGGGGAAUAGUGGACAAUGGGCGAAAGCCUGAUGCAGCCAUGCCGCGUGGGUGAAGAAGGUCUUCGGAUUGUAAAGCACUUUAAGUUGGGAGGCGUUACCAACAGAAUAAGCACCGGCUAACUUCGUGCCAGCAGCCGCGGUAAUAC
Molecule: ribosomal RNA, 407 nt
Filed under: uncultured bacterium
Lineage: Bacteria
Description: partial 16S ribosomal RNA
Rfam family: Bacterial small subunit ribosomal RNA
Source: RNAcentral